Molecule: long non-coding RNA, 808 nt
Filed under: Cyanistes caeruleus (blue tit)
Lineage: Eukaryota; Metazoa; Chordata; Aves; Passeriformes; Paridae
Description: lncRNA (ENSCCEG00000007893.1)
Source: RNAcentral
GUGCUAUGUAAAGAGUGGCUGUCUGGUCAGGCCACUGACAGAAUGAUGCCAAGGAGCAGCCUUCUGCUUACUCACCAGACGUGUGCAGAAUAGCCAGAGGAAGGGAAGUGGGCCUUCUUGGAGAAGUGAACCCCUUGAGCUGCUCCUGAGCUAGAUUCUGAUACAGACCCCAAAGGGCAAGCUGCUAUGUGAUUUAAAGUCAUGCUACCAGCAGGAGCAUAUGACCUCAUGGUAUGAAAAAGCAGGAGGAGAUUAGCAAAGAAGUUUCUAAGGCCCCCUCCUUUGCUUUCUCUACCCCCUACCUCGCCUUGGAUUUUUCUGCCUUUUCGAAGAGAGGGAGCGAGGGAGAGUGGAAGGACUCAGUGAGGAAGGAGUUAAGGGAAUGCUCACUGGGGAUUAUAAAACAGCCAGGCACUUGGAAACAGUUAAGAAGAGAGAAACAGAUCUGCCAGGAGGGAGUGUGGCACUGGAGCCGGUGGUUUAUUUUCAUGCCUCCCUACACAGCAAUGCAGACGGCUCUCCUACAAUGGGGACGGAGGAAUUUGUGAAUCUCCCUGCAAAUAAUCAGGGGAAGGAUCAGUUUAUGCCAAUGUAAGAUUCACUACCUCUGAGUAUUGUCCAUCUGCCUGUCCUAUAUCCAGCUUAUGACCAGUGAUGCCUGCAGUGCCUGACACUUGCUUUCUCUUUCCGAGAGAACAGGAGGAAAGGUGGGGCUUAUGCUCUAAGCAAAAGUCCCUGUUUGGAAUUGAGUAACAAGACUUUGUUAUGCGUUAAAGUUAAAAAUAAAUUGAUCUUGUUUAUCUGAACA